Molecule: long non-coding RNA, 253 nt
Filed under: Cicer arietinum (chickpea)
Lineage: Eukaryota; Viridiplantae; Streptophyta; Magnoliopsida; Fabales; Fabaceae
Description: long non-coding RNA (CARI_LNC003742)
Source: RNAcentral
ACAUCAGAUGCUCCCCCUUAAUAAUGCAACAACAAGCAUAUUAUCAAGUUAUCAAGUUAUAAUUUUUCUCCCCCUUUGUCAAUUAAGGCAAAAAGGCAGAAAACAAUUCCUCCCCCUAUGUUAAAGAACAUAAGCAUAGGAAAUGAAAGCAUAUAACUUGUAUAUCAGAUCAGAACAAAACAAAUAUGCAACAGAUGUAGUAUGGCAGUAUUUAUAUGAUAACAAUUAAUACAUUUGCUCAUACAUAUAUAUU